UGGUGCUAUGACACAUAUGCUACACGUGCGC
RNAcentral lists this non-coding RNA (31 nucleotides) under Rattus norvegicus (Norway rat). Lineage: Eukaryota; Metazoa; Chordata; Mammalia; Rodentia; Muridae. The record is from RNAcentral.